This 34-nucleotide transfer RNA is filed under the name Ochagavia elegans. Its description in RNAcentral is "partial tRNA-Phe". The record is from RNAcentral. Lineage: Eukaryota; Viridiplantae; Streptophyta; Magnoliopsida; Poales; Bromeliaceae.
GUCGGGAUAGCUCAGUUGGUAGAGCAAAGGACUG